CAUUAAUUCUUUAACAAAAUUUUUUUUAGUGCUUGGAAGAACUAAAGAUGAAAUGGUUUGAGGCCUUGCACUGUUCCAUCCAGAGCAAAGUUACAGAAAUUUCAGACAACU
Molecule: small nucleolar RNA, 111 nt
Filed under: Sorex araneus (European shrew)
Lineage: Eukaryota; Metazoa; Chordata; Mammalia; Eulipotyphla; Soricidae
Description: Small nucleolar RNA SNORA9 (ENSSARG00000018998.1)
Source: RNAcentral